UCGUAACAAGGUUUCCGUAGGUGAACCUGCGGAAGGAUCAUUACCGAGUGUAGGGUUCCUAGCGAGCCCAACCUCCCACCCGUGUUUACUGUAACCUUAGUUGCUUCGGCGGGCCCGCCUUUAAGGCCGCCGGGGGGCAUCAGCCCCCGGGCCCGCGCCCGCCGGAGACACCACGAACUCUGUCUGAUCUAGUGAAGUCUGAGUUGAUUGUAUCGCAAUCAGUUAAAACUUUCAACAAUGGAUCUCUUGGUUCCGGCAUCGAUGAAGAACGCAGCGAAAUGCGAUAACUAGUGUGAAUUGCAGAAUUCCGUGAAUCAUCGAGUCUUUGAACGCACAUUGCGCCCCCUGGUAUUCCGGGGGGCAUGCCUGUCCGAGCGUCAUUGCUGCCCAUCAAGCACGGCUUGUGUGUUGGGUCGUCGUCCCCUCUUCGGGGGGGACGGGCCCCAAAGGCAGCGGCGGCACCGCGUCCGAUCCUCGAGCGUAUGGGGCUUUGUCACCCGCUCUGUAGGCCCGGCCGGCGCUUGCCGAACGCAAAACAACCAUUCUUUCCAGGUUGACCUCGGAUCAGGUAGGGAUACCCGCUGAACUUAAGCAUAUCAAAAGGCG
RNAcentral lists this unclassified non-coding RNA (606 nucleotides) under Aspergillus tamarii. RNAcentral describes it as "sequence contains 18S rRNA gene, ITS1, 5.8S rRNA gene, ITS2, 28S rRNA gene". The stretch from base 227 to 380 matches the Rfam family "5.8S ribosomal RNA". The record is from RNAcentral. Lineage: Eukaryota; Fungi; Ascomycota; Eurotiomycetes; Eurotiales; Aspergillaceae.